AUGGUUGUGUUGAUUGUAUUUCUUGUUCCUCUAUAAUGACCCCUUUCUCUGGUUGUUUAUUCACUACAAACCUUGCAUUUACUUUGUUAUUUAUUCAUGUGACUUGAGUGAAGUCUACUCAGUGUGACUCGAGACAAGGCUAUACAAAGUAUUGAUUUUUCUAGUGGAGCCAAAAAUAGUAUUGAUUUAUGGAGCUGUGAUUUUGAACUUGUAUUUUGUGAAUAUUUCUUAGUCAAGGAAAAUGAACAUUAUGUUUAGAUUUUAAAGAAGAAUUAUGCUUAUCUUGAUUAGAAAUGUGUAUUAUCAAAUUAUUUGUCAUCAUAGGUUUGGCUUUAGAUCACUUUUGUGGAUUGUUCACUUGACGUGAACUACACGUUGUUAAUUCACAGCUCCCAAACCAUGCGGUCGCGGCAAGGCCUAGGCUAGGCAGUGCCUGCCCGAUCUUUACAGGUGGCCCCACCUGGGCCGAUUCAGUUUGAAUAAACAAUCAGAGCAAGGGA
RNAcentral lists this long non-coding RNA (500 nucleotides) under Patiria miniata (bat star). RNAcentral's name for it is "uncharacterized LOC119739586". Lineage: Eukaryota; Metazoa; Echinodermata; Asteroidea; Valvatida; Asterinidae. The record is from RNAcentral.